Molecule: long non-coding RNA, 777 nt
Filed under: Jatropha curcas
Lineage: Eukaryota; Viridiplantae; Streptophyta; Magnoliopsida; Malpighiales; Euphorbiaceae
Description: long non-coding RNA (JCUR_LNC001963)
Source: RNAcentral
UUCUAUAACUUAAUGCAUAAUAAAUAGAGUGCUCUAAUUAUUUAUUUAUUAUCUUUAUUAUUCAUUUAAUUAUCUAAGUAUUUAAUUAUUUUCAUUGUUAUUGUUUAUUAUUAUCAUUUAUUUUAUUGUUGUUUAUUGUUAAUGGUAUUUAUUUAAUUAUUUAAUUGCAUUUGAGAAUGGAUGUCUAAUUGUGCAUUGCAUUAUGAUGUUCAACUGAUCAAUAUGUCUGCAUUUGAUUGCAAUGUUUGAUUAAUUGUGUUGUGAAAAUGCUAUGCUUUGUUUGUGUGGAAUUGGGAUGAAGUGGACCACCAUGGGUUUGUGAGGACGGUCUGUGAUAUGGAUCCGGUUAUGAUAUGAUACUUGACCGUCGGCCGGGAAAAUGGGAGAUCGGCGCCCCCUUGUGCACCUGAUGAUAUAGAUUAUAUGGGAAUUCACAGGAUGGCUUCUUGUUGUUGCGCACCUGAUAAUCUAGAUUUGAUUGUAGCCCGCAGGGUGGCCUCCUGUUGUGAGCACUUGAUGAUCUAGAUUGGAUGGAGACCACCGGGUUGCCUCCUGUCGAUAUGGAAAAGAAACGAUGACUAAUUUCCACGUGAUGUGAUUAUAUGAAGAUGUUAAUAAUUGUGAGUGCUGGUGAUAUGCCAUUUGUGUGACUGGCUGUGUGAGCAUAUAACUAGUCGGAUGACUAGAUUGAUAUAUUUAUACAUUUGUGUGAAUGCGUGUGUUGUGCAAUAAUUAUUAUUCAUUAAUAGACUCACAUCUCUUUUGUUUAAAUCUUUC